This 518-nucleotide ribosomal RNA is filed under the name uncultured Hanseniaspora. Its description in RNAcentral is "eukaryotic LSU rRNA". It matches the Rfam family "Eukaryotic large subunit ribosomal RNA", at positions 62 to 576 of the family's 3401-position model. The record is from RNAcentral. Lineage: Eukaryota; Fungi; Ascomycota; Saccharomycetes; Saccharomycodales; Saccharomycodaceae.
AAACCAACUGGGAUUACCUUAGUAACGGCGAGUGAAGCGGUAAAAGCUCAAAAUUUGAAAAUCUGGGUACUUUCAGUGCCCGAGUUGUAAUUUGUAGAAUUUGUCUUUGAUUAGGUCCUUGUCUAUGUUCCUUGGAACAGGACGUCAUAGAGGGUGAGAAUCCCGUUUGGCGAGGAUACCUUUUCUCUGUAAGACUUUUUCGAAGAGUCGAGUUGUUUGGGAAUGCAGCUCAAAGUGGGUGGUAAAUUCCAUCUAAAGCUAAAUAUUGGCGAGAGACCGAUAGCGAACAAGUACAGUGAUGGAAAGAUGAAAAGAACUUUGAAAAGAGAGUGAAAAAGUACGUGAAAUUGUUGAAAGGGAAGGGCAUUUGAUCAGACAUGGUGUUUUUUAAAUGUGCAAGUCUCUCGUGGACAUGUGCCUCUGGAAAUUAACACUGGGCCAACAUCAGUUCUGGCGGCAGGAUAAAUCAUUAAGAAUGUAGCUACCUCGGUAGUGUUAUAGCUUUUUGGAAUACUGCC